Molecule: ribosomal RNA, 400 nt
Filed under: uncultured bacterium
Lineage: Bacteria
Description: bacterial SSU rRNA
Rfam family: Bacterial small subunit ribosomal RNA
Source: RNAcentral
GAAUAUUGGACAAUGGGCGGAAGCCUGAUCCAGCAAUGCCGCGUGUGCGAAGAAGGCCUGCGGGUUGUAAAGCACUUUCGAUGGGGAAGAUUAUGACGGUACCCAUAGAAGAAGCACCGGCUAACUCCGUGCCAGCAGCCGCGGUAAUACGGAGGGUGCAAGCGUUAAUCGGAAUUACUGGGCGUAAAGCGCGCGUAGGCGGCUUAGUAAGUCGGAUGUGAAAGCCCCGGGCUUAACCUGGGAACUGCAUUCGAUACUGCUGAGCUAGAGUAUGGAAGAGGGAAGUGGAAUUCCGGGUGUAGCGGUGAAAUGCGUAGAUAUCCGGAGGAACACCAGUGGCGAAGGCGACUUCCUGGGCCAAUACUGACGCUGAGGUGCGAAAGCGUGGGGAGCAAACAGG